UACGGGGGGGAGCAAGCGUUGUUCGGAUUUACUGGGCGUAAAGGGCGCGUAGGCGGUCGUGACAAGUCACUUGUGAAAUCUCCGGGCUUAACUCGGAACGGUCAGCCGAUACUGCGGGGCUAGAGUGCAGAAGGGGCAACUGGAAUUCUCGGUGUAGCGGUGAAAUGCGUAGAUAUCGAGAGGAACACCUGCGGCGAAGGCGGGUUGCUGGGCUGACACUGACGCUGAUGCGCGAAAGCUAGGGGAGCGAACGGG
RNAcentral lists this ribosomal RNA (255 nucleotides) under uncultured bacterium. Its description in RNAcentral is "partial 16S ribosomal RNA". It matches the Rfam family "Bacterial small subunit ribosomal RNA", at positions 524 to 776 of the family's 1533-position model. The record is from RNAcentral.